CGAAACACAGCUCUUCGUUAUGGCCGUUAGACCGCCGUUGAUCUAGUCGUCGCAGCUCCUCUGUCACGGUUGAUCUUGGUUUCUUCCGUGCCGCCGACCGUCGACCUCGUCGUUGCCUCACAGCGCUUGGACAACGACAUCGUUACUGGGCAACAUGUUUGCCCGUCGCCACGUUAUCUUCAACAUCACGACUCUACUAGACUUCGUGCGCUCGUCGACACUUAGUUGUCGAUCUCCGCCACGUCAGCCUUGACGCGUCUUGCGUUCGCGCUGGAAGAUGAAAGAGAAGAGCUAGAGCAACACUCGUCAAGUAUCAGUGGUAUGUGCAAGCCGUAUAAUGUCGUCCAUUUCGUGGUUUCAAGUCGAAUUUAAUUAUAGUAAGCUGAUUCGCUACUAUUAUUAUUUUGUUUUAAUGAAUGGAUUGAUAGAUCUGUAGGUUGCGACGAUUAUUCUGCUUAUAGCUCGGACGCGUAUUUAUUCGAUGCUUGUAGGAAUACGGGGCUACAUGUAGCAUGGUAAUUGUAUCCUCGAUUUCGAAGUCGUCGUGCUGUAUAGCUAAGUCUAAGUCUCAAGGCAUAGGUUAUGUCUAAUUACAUUGAUACGUGUGUACAAUAGGGGUUGUCGAGGUUACGAGGAAAGAAAUUAAUUGUGCUUCUGUGUUGAAGACAAUAAUUUGCUUUAGGAGAUUUAUAAUAGUAAGCCUAAGUUCGUUAAUCUUUAGGUGUAUUCUUUAGCCAAGAAAAAUAUAGUCUUUAUACAUAAUUGUAGUUCUUGUUCAAGUUAACUUCGGUUAAGCUAGAGUAACUUGAUUAUUGUGUUUAAUUGUUUAGCUGCAUCUAGCGUGUGCUUAGGAGUGAUGUAUUGUGCUUCGCCAUUAAGUAAUUAAUUAUCUAUUACGUAGCAUUAUUUAAGUUGUGAUAUUCCCGUUUAUAUGCAUUCAUGUGCAUUAUGCAAAUCAUUUAGGUAUGUUAAUUAAUCGCAUGAUACGGAAGAAGAACCAAGCCGGCCCCAAGCGCGGGCUAAUAUGCAAGCUGAAGCUGAU
This 1042-nucleotide long non-coding RNA is filed under the name Zea mays. RNAcentral's name for it is "long non-coding RNA (ZMAY_LNC000322)". The record is from RNAcentral. Lineage: Eukaryota; Viridiplantae; Streptophyta; Magnoliopsida; Poales; Poaceae.